UCUACCCAAGGCCGACACGCAUCGCGUUCUCAUGGGGCCUCCGCGCCGCACACACUUCACGCCGUCAGCGCUGGAACCCGCGGCCAGACACUACAACGUCACAACACACAACCUCUACACCACACCCGCAAAUUCACGGCGCGAUNCCAACUCUCAGAGCUCGACUCCCAUCACGCGGCCGCGCACCAUCCGCCCACACCCCAAAUACUAACCCGAACGNACGUCAACCACGGAACCCCCACCCGCGCACGAGCUCCCUGACCGCAGGGAGAGCGCCGGGGAACGGAGGAAGNCAAAGNAGCGGCCGGGAGGACGGCGAGUGGACCAGACGAGGGGAGACAAGCGACGGUGCGCGGGGUCGGGGCAAGCGGGGCGGGAGAGUGAUAUGGAAGAAGAGGGUGACGUAGGCGGNCAUGGGAGACGGAGGAGAAAACCCGCAUGGUAGGGGCACGACAUAAGGUGGGGGGUGUANGAUAGGUGCAGUACAAAACCCGCAGGAAANUGGCGAUACGUCAAGUCCGCUAUGGCGCGUUCCGGCCAGGGCUGCAUACGUCAUAAAAUCCCAGGUACAAAGGGAAGCAAGACAGUCAGUGUGAGCCAUCCCCAGAAAACCGGGCCCAGUUCAGAUUGUUGUUUGCAACUCGACGGAUGGCAGUUGGAAUCGCUCGUAAUGGCGCGUCAGCUACGGCGCCGUGAAUAGUUUCCCAGGCUUGGUACACACCGCCCGUCACAUCAUGGAAGCCGGCGCCUCCGGAAGUGCCUGAGGCAACCGCAAGGAGGCAGGGCCGUAAGCUGUAGCUGGUAACUGGGNCGAAGUCGUANGGGGAAAAAUG
Molecule: ribosomal RNA, 833 nt
Filed under: uncultured Verrucomicrobiota bacterium
Lineage: Bacteria; Pseudomonadati; Verrucomicrobiota
Description: uncultured Verrucomicrobia bacterium partial 16S ribosomal RNA
Rfam family: Bacterial small subunit ribosomal RNA
Source: RNAcentral